This 304-nucleotide unclassified non-coding RNA is filed under the name plant metagenome. RNAcentral describes it as "partial contains 5.8S ribosomal RNA, internal transcribed spacer 2, and large subunit ribosomal RNA". The stretch from base 1 to 105 matches the Rfam family "5.8S ribosomal RNA", at positions 50 to 154 of the family's 154-position model. The record is from RNAcentral.
GAAAUGCGAUAAGUAAUGUGAAUUGCAGAAUUCCGUGAAUCAUCGAAUCUUUGAACGCACAUUGCGCCCCCUGGUAUUCCGGGGGGCAUGCCUGUCCGAGCGUCAUUGCAACCCUCAAGCGCGGCUUGUGUGAUGGGCCUCGUCCCCCCCGGGACGGGCCCGAAAGGCAGUGGCGGCGUCCGAUCUGGUGCCCGAGCGUAUGGGAACUCUCUUCCGCUCGAACAGGCCCUCUCGGCGCCGGUCGUCACCGAAUCUUCUUACCGGUUGACCUCGGAUCAGGUAGGGAUACCCGCUGAACUUAAGC